UACGGAGGGUGCAAACGUUGCUCGGAAUCAUUGGGCGUAAAGCGCACGUAGGUGGUUUGUUAAGUCGGAUGUGAAAGCCCCGGGCUCAACUCGGGAAGUGCAUUCGAAACUGGCAGGCUUGAGUAUGGAAGAGGGUCGCGGAAUUCCCGGUGUAGAGGUGAAAUUCGUAGAUAUCGGGAGGAACACCAGUGGCGAAGGCGGCGACCUGGGCCAAUACUGACACUGAGGUGCGAAAGCGUGGGGAGCAAACAGA
RNAcentral lists this ribosomal RNA (253 nucleotides) under uncultured bacterium. Its description in RNAcentral is "partial 16S ribosomal RNA". It matches the Rfam family "Bacterial small subunit ribosomal RNA", at positions 524 to 776 of the family's 1533-position model. The record is from RNAcentral.